GACAGAGGAUGCAAGCGUUAUCCGGAAUGAUUGGGCGUAAAGCGUCUGUAGGUGGCUUUUUAAGUCUGCCGUCAAAUCCCAGGGCUUAACCCUGGACAGGCGGUGGAAACUACCAAGCUGGAGUACGGUAGGGGCAGGGGGAAUUUCCGGUGGAGCGGUGAAAUGCGUAGAGAUCGGAGAGAACACCAACGGCGAAAGCACUCUGCUGGGCCGACACUGACACUGAGAGACGAAAGCUAGGGGAGCGAAUGGG
RNAcentral lists this ribosomal RNA (253 nucleotides) under uncultured bacterium. RNAcentral describes it as "partial 16S ribosomal RNA". It matches the Rfam family "Bacterial small subunit ribosomal RNA", at positions 524 to 776 of the family's 1533-position model. The record is from RNAcentral.